GACGAACCGUGCGAACGUUGUUCGGAAUCACUGGGCUUAAAGGGCGCGUAGGCGGGUUCGCAAGUCUGUGGUGAAAGCCCCCGGCUCAACUGGGGAGGGUCAUUCGAUACUGAUCGACUCGAAGGCAGGAGAGGGUAGUGGAAUUCCCGGUGUAGUGGUGAAAUGCGUAGAUAUCGGGAGGAACACCAGUGGCGAAGGCGGCUACCUGGACCGGUUCUGACGCUGAGGCGCGAAAGCGUGGGUAGCAAACAGG
RNAcentral lists this ribosomal RNA (253 nucleotides) under uncultured bacterium. RNAcentral's name for it is "partial 16S ribosomal RNA". It matches the Rfam family "Bacterial small subunit ribosomal RNA", at positions 524 to 776 of the family's 1533-position model. The record is from RNAcentral.